UUGAAGAAGAACCGAAGAGUAAAUCUCCCAAGCUGCCCUGGAGAUGCAUCUAUGUCUGACAGGAAGUGGGAUGGUCCCGGUAGGCUGGGGUUAAGUAUCUGACUUCAACAAAUGCCCUUCUCUCUAUGUGUUUUCACAGAAGGCCAGGCCCAGGAAGAACUUUUACCCCACUUCCUACAUUUCAGAGCUGAAAAUGACGGAAUUGUCAUGGUAAUGCCCAUAGUUGAUGUAACAGAUGCUGAGAAGGAAAAACAACGCUUGCCACAUGUGAAAACUGCCUGGUUGGUUCUGCUCUGAGUGCCUCUCUGGAGGGCACAUUGAUGGAUUUGACAAUCACUUAAUUCUACUAGAGCCUGACCGCCAGUCUGGAAGUCAGAUAGACAGCAGCAGAGACGUAGAUGAUAGCCGCAGGCUGCUGCUGGUGGGCAGCUGACAGAGUCCACCUUCAAGGACUGCCUUCAGUACCAUCUACAUUCUUCUACCUGGGACUGUGUGUGGCCAUGCAAACAGGCUCAGAGGGCUGCUGCUGCUGCUAUGGUUCGUGCAUACUCUCUGUUGAGAUGGUUUUUUGGUGCUUAUUCAGCUGGGCUAGAAUGCUGAUUUGUAAAGUGUCAAUCUUCAGAGAACCUUCAUUAACUGGAGGCAAACAGGUUUGAUGUUAGCCAGCUGCUAGGAUGGAAGUUCUGUAUCCACCCACACAGCAAGGUUUACCUGAAUGCCUAGGCUUCGUUGAGUGUGGAGAAGAGGCAAUGUGAAUAACAGCGCUUAGCCCCAGAUUCACAUAGAAGCAAAGCUCUGGGGCGGUGCUGACUCGUUCCAAUGAGAGGUCUGGGCUGUUCACAAAAAGUUCUCAGUGUCUGGAGCCUGAAUAGCUGAAGCAGUCAGCUCAGAAGCACACAAGCCCGAAGCAUGGCAGGUCUGUGGAGGAAGGGAAAGAAUAGACAGGGGCAGAAAGGCAGAGCACAUGAGGAGUUGAAGCUGGAAAGAUAUUGGAGCUUAUAGACUCUUUAGCCCUACUCAGGACAAUGUUAUGUGGACAAGGGAGGCCACCAAAGGUCUUUUUGAAUGUAGAUUUGCAUGGACUUAGAAAGUAUUUGGCAACCUUUUAAGGAAUAGAAGGAGAGAUAACACUGGCUUAGUAUGUCUCAAGGUGGACUCAAAAUGCAAUGGAUGUGAGCUAGAAGUCAAUAGUAGGGAAGGGAGUGGGGACAGAGAGAUAAGAACAGUUCUCAUGGAAUAAUUGAGUGGGUAGAGCUGGAUGUCACCAGUGCCUCCAGCCACCAUGGUACCUACUUUCUGUUUGGCUAAGCAUGAGUUUAUGAUCUCUUUUGGUUUCCAUGGUAAACUUAUAAAGAACUUUGUUUUACAGACGGAGAAAUGAGGUCAAAAGCCUAGCCUGUGGCACAUCCCUGUAAAUUCCAAAGCUAGGGUUUCCAUUCCAGAGAGCGUUCUCAUCCAUAAUGACAUGUCUGGCCCAUGUAACGGCAGUGGCCAGGAGAUGGAAAGAAACUUAGACCUGACCCCAGGCAAGGUCACAGGUUUGGGUAGGGAAGAUACCCAGGGUUGUGUAGACGGUAUGCUUUAAAUGGUGAAGAGUCAGCUGGCCAGUGAGGACCAGGUAGAAAGGCAGAGUUCAAGACAGGGGACCAGACUCAGAUUUUGCCACUGUGAGAGCAGCAUAUUCUUGUGUGUGUGUGUGUCCAUUAAUUAAUUACUUAUUAAUUUUAUAUCCUAAUUGCUGCCCAACCCCUUCUCUCAACCCUCCUCCCAUCUUCUCUGAGAUUAUGAAGAUCCCCUGGGUAUCCCCUCACCCUGGUGCAUCAACUUUGCAGGAUUAGGCACA
This is a long non-coding RNA of Mus caroli (Ryukyu mouse), 1843 nucleotides long. RefSeq lists it as uncharacterized. NCBI's taxonomy places the organism in Eukaryota, Metazoa, Chordata, Mammalia, Rodentia, Muridae. The record is from RefSeq and is a predicted model, not a curated record.